Molecule: unclassified non-coding RNA, 596 nt
Filed under: Hevea brasiliensis (rubber tree)
Lineage: Eukaryota; Viridiplantae; Streptophyta; Magnoliopsida; Malpighiales; Euphorbiaceae
Source: RNAcentral
UAAAAGUUGUACACAUAAACAGCUAGAUUACAGGUCGAAGGAAACUGGAAAGGUGUUAGCAACAAAUAAUACUCAAACCUAUCUUUCACACGUUAAAAUUUCAAAAGAAUCACCAAUAAACAAAGAUAUUACAAAGUGCCCUCCAACUUCAGCUUUCCAUUUCCUUGAGCUCAUUUUUAUGAACCACAACAAGCUGAUUUCUGGGAAGUUUGACUACCUCCAGCUCCUGCUUCUGGUUGAUUAAUCUUGAGCGUUGACGGCUCGGCCUUGGAGUCUGUGUCUGCAAGCCUUUGUUUUAUAUCUCUUGCUAUUGAGAAGAAAACUUGUUCCACGUUAAGAUUUGUUUUUGCACUAGUUUCAAAAAACUUAAUUCCGUAUUCAUCUGCAAGUGCUUGACCCUUUGCUGUAGGGACAGCCCUCUUGCUUUCAUCCAUGUCGGCCUUGUUCCCUACAAGUAUUUUGUUAACAUUGUCCGAGGCAUGCUGCUCAAUGUUACGAAUCCAGUUCCUGAUGUUGUUAAAGGAGGAUUCAUCAGUUACAUCAUACACCAACAGUAUACCCAUGGCUCCACGAUAGUAAGCAGUAGUGAUGGUCCG